RNAcentral lists this ribosomal RNA (107 nucleotides) under Serratia liquefaciens. RNAcentral's name for it is "partial 23S ribosomal RNA". It matches the Rfam family "Bacterial large subunit ribosomal RNA", at positions 1 to 98 of the family's 2925-position model. RNAcentral also lists the same sequence under 4 other names. Lineage: Bacteria; Pseudomonadati; Pseudomonadota; Gammaproteobacteria; Enterobacterales; Yersiniaceae. The record is from RNAcentral.
GGGUUGUGAGGUUAAGUGACUAAGCGUACACGGUGGAUGCCUAGGCAGUCAGAGGCGAUGAAGGGCGUGCUAAUCUGCGAAAAGCGUCGGUAAGGUGAUAUGAACCG